GACGAACGCUGGCGGCGUGCCUAAUACAUGCAAGUAGAACGCUGAAGAGAGGAGCUUGCUCUUCUUGGAUGAGUUGCGAACGGGUGAGUAACGCGUAGGUAACCUGCCUGGUAGCGGGGGAUAACUAUUGGAACCGAUAGCUAAUACCGCAUAAAAUGGAUUAUCGCAUGAUAAUCCAUUGAAAGGUGCAAAUGCAUCACUACCAGAUGGACCUGCGUUGUAUUAGCUAGUUGGUGGGGUAACGGCUCACCAAGGCGACGAUACAUAGCCGACCUGAGAGGGUGAUCGGCCACACUGGGACUGAGACACGGCCCAGACUCCUACGGGAGGCAGCAGUAGGGAAUCUUCGGCAAUGGACGGAAGUCUGACCGAGCAACGCCGCGUGAGUGAAGAAGGUUUUCGGAUCGUAAAGCUCUGUUGUAAGAGAAGAACGAGUGUGAGAGUGGAAAGUUCACACUGUGACGGUAUCUUACCAGAAAGGGACGGCUAACUACGUG
RNAcentral lists this ribosomal RNA (497 nucleotides) under uncultured bacterium. Its description in RNAcentral is "partial 16S ribosomal RNA". It matches the Rfam family "Bacterial small subunit ribosomal RNA", at positions 28 to 507 of the family's 1533-position model. The record is from RNAcentral.